GACGAACGCUGGCGGCGUGCUUAACACAUGCAAGUCGAACGGAAAGGCCCUGCUUUUGUGGGGUGCUCGAGUGGCGAACGGGUGAGUAACACGUGAGUAACCUGCCCUUGACUUUGGGAUAACUUCAGGAAACUGGGGCUAAUACCGGAUAGGAGCUCCUGCUGCAUGGUGGGGGUUGGAAAGUUUCGGCGGUUGGGGAUGGACUCGCGGCUUAUCGGCUUGUUGGUGGGGUAGUGGCUUACCAAGGCUUUGACGGGUAGCCGGCCUGAGAGGGUGACCGGCCACAUUGGGACUGAGAUACGGCCCAGACUCCUACGGGAGGCAGCAGUGGGGAAUAUUGCACAAUGGGCGGAAGCCUGAUGCAGCAACGCCGCGUGCGGGAUGACGGCCUUCGGGUUGUAAACCGCUUUCGCCUGUGACGAAGCGUGAGUGACGGUAAUGGGUAAAGAGGCACCGGCUAACUACGUG
RNAcentral lists this ribosomal RNA (468 nucleotides) under uncultured bacterium. Its description in RNAcentral is "partial 16S ribosomal RNA". It matches the Rfam family "Bacterial small subunit ribosomal RNA", at positions 28 to 507 of the family's 1533-position model. The record is from RNAcentral.